Molecule: ribosomal RNA, 1331 nt
Filed under: metagenome
Description: bacterial LSU rRNA
Rfam family: Bacterial large subunit ribosomal RNA
Source: RNAcentral
GACCGAAAAAGAGUAGGGAAGCUGUUAAGCAAGCCGUCAAGAAAAGCUGCUAUUGUUUCAUUAUGGCCCGUACCGUAAACCGACACAGGUGGAUGGGGAGAGAAUCCUAAGGCCGGCGGAAGAAGUAUUGUUAAGGAACUCGGCAAAAUGACCCCGUAACUUCGGGAGAAGGGGUGCCUGCGAGAGCAGGCCGCAGAGAAGAGGCCCAAGCAACUGUUUAGCAAAAACACAGGUCUAUGCAAAACCGAAAGGUGAGGUAUAUGGGCUGACGCCUGCCCGGUGCUGGAAGGUUAAGGGGAGUGGUCAGGAAACGAAGCCACGAACUUAAGCCCCAGUAAACGGCGGCCGUAACAAUAACGGUCCUAAGGUAGCGAAAUUCCUUGUCGGGUAAGUUCCGACCCGCACGAAAGGCGUAAUGAUUUGGGCGCUGUCUCGACAAUACAUCCGGUGAAAUUGAAGUGCCAGUGAAGAUGCUGGCUACCUGCGCCAGGACGGAAAGACCCCAUGGAGCUUUACUCCAGCUUGAUACUGGGACCCGGUAUUGCAUGUACAGGAUAGGUGGGAGGCUAGGAAAUGUGGACGCCAGUCUGCAUGGAGCCGCUGUUGGGAUACCACCCUUGUGGUGCUGGGUUUCUAACCAGAGGCCGUGAACCGGUCUGGGGACAAUGUCAGGUGGGGAGUUUGACUGGGGCGGUCGCCUCCGAAAGGGUAUCGGAGGCGCCCAAAGGUUCCCUCAGAAUGGUUGGAAACCAUUCGAAGAGUGCAAAGGCAGAAGGGAGCUUGACUGCGACACCGACGGGUGGAGCAGGUACGAAAGUAGGGCUUAGUGAUCCGGUGGAAUUUAAGUGGGAAUGCCAUCGCUCAACGGAUAAAAGCUACCCUGGGAUAACAGGCUGAUCACUCCCAAGAGUUCACAUCGACGGAGUGGUUUGGCACCUCGAUGUCGGCUCAUCGCAUCCUGGGGCUGAAGUCGGUCCCAAGGGUUGGGCUGUUCGCCCAUUAAAGCGGUACGCGAGCUGGGUUCAGAACGUCGUGAGACAGUUCGGUCCCUAUCCGGCGUGGGCGUAGGAUAUCUGAGAGGAGCUGUCCUUAGUACGAGAGGACCGGGAUGGACUGACCUCUGGUGUACCGGUUGGCGAUCAACGCCACGGCCGGGUAGCCAUGUCGGGACGGGAUAAACGCUGAAGGCAUCUAAGCGUGAAGCCCCCCUCAAGAUGAGAUAUCCCAUCGUAAGAGUAAGACCCCUUGAAGACGACGAGGUUGAUAGGGCAGGGGUGGAAGUGCUGUAAGGCAUGGAGCUGACUGCUACUAAUCGGUCGAGGGCUUGACCU